This 3077-nucleotide ribosomal RNA is filed under the name marine metagenome. Its description in RNAcentral is "bacterial LSU rRNA". It matches the Rfam family "Bacterial large subunit ribosomal RNA". The record is from RNAcentral.
AGAGCGCACGGUGAAUGCCUUGGCACUAAGAGCCGAUGAAGGACGUAGGAAUCUGCGAAAAGCCCCGGGGAGCUGAUAACCAAGCUGUGAUCCGAGGAUAUCCGAAUGGGGAAACCCGACUGGAGUUAUGUCCAGUAACCAUUGUUUGAACACAUAGAACAAAUGGAGGAAACGUGGGGAAGUGAAACAUCUCAGUACCCACAGGAAGAGAAAAUAAAUAGUGAUUCCGUUAGUAGUGGCGAGCGAAAGCGGAUGAGCCUAAACCAAAAUUGCGUGAUAGUUAACAGACGUUGCAGUUUUGGGGUCGUGGGACUUAAUUUCAGUAACUGUUAUUACUGAUAGAAGUCAGAAACUCAAUGCGUAGACGAAGAACGUGGGAAAGUUCGGGAGACAAGGUAAAACCCCUGUAGUCGAAACGUAUUGAACUUUUUUUAAGUAUCCCAAGUAAUGCGGGGCCCGUGAAAUCCCGCCUGAAUCUGUCAGGACCACCUGAUAAGGCUAAAUACUACUUAGUGACCGAUAGUGAAGCAGUACCGUGAGGGAAUGGUGAAAAGAACCCCGGGAGGGGAGUGAAAUAGAACCUGAAACCGUGUGCUUACAAGCCGUUGGAGCUACGCCCGCAAGGGCAGUGACAGCGUGCCUUUUGAAGAAUGAGUCUGCGAGUUAGUGGUAUGUGGCGAGGUUAACCCGUGUGGGGAAGCCGUAGCGAAAGCGAGUUCGAAUAGAGCGAAUUAGUCGUAUGCCCUAGACCCGAAGCGAGGUGAUCUAACCAUGAGCAGGUUGAAGCGCAGGUAAGACUGCGUGGAGGACCGAACCCACCAAUGUUGAAAAAUUGGGGGAUGACUUGUGGUUAGGGGUGAAAGGCCAAUCAAACUUCGUUAUAGCUGGUUCUCUCCGAAAUGCAUUUAGGUGCAGCGUCGCGUAUUGCUUAGUGGAGGUAGAGCACUGACUUGCCGAGGGGCCCUAAAAGGUUACCAACGUAAAUCAAACUCCGAAUGCCAUUAAGUUAAACGCGGCAGUGAGACUGUGGGGGAUAAGCUUCAUAGUCGAGAGGGAGACAACCCAGACCAACAACUAAGGUCCCAAAGAGUGUGCUAAGUGGUAAAGGAUGUGGAGUCGCAUUGACAACCAGGAUGUUGGCUUAGAAGCAGCCACCAUUAAAAGAGUGCGUAAUAGCUCACUGGUCAAGUAAUUCCGCGCCGACAAUUUAACGGGGCUCAAGCACAUCACCGAAGUUAUGGCAAAAAAUCAUGUAUCAGGCCUUCGUGGUCCAGAUGAUUUUUUGGGUAGGAGAGCGUCGUGUGGCUAGCGAAGCGGUGGUGAAAACCAACCGUGGAAGCUACACGAGUGAAAAUGCAGACAUGAGUAGCGAAUGACGGGUGAGAAACCCGUCCGCCGAAUGACCAAGGGUUCCAGAGUCAAGCUAAUCUGCUCUGGGUAAGUCGGGCCCUAAGACGAGGCCGACAGGCGUAGUCGAUGGACAACGGGUUGAUAUUCCCGUACCGGUUUUGUUGCGCCAAUACUGAAACCAAUAAUGCUAAGCGUUUGAACCUGGGAGCAAUCUCAGCGGAAGACGUGACCCUGUUGGCUGUAGGUAAGCAAAGGAGUGACGCAGGAAGGUAGCCCAUCCCGGGCGAUGGUUGUCCCGGGGUAAGGAUGUAGGUGGGUGUGUAGGUAAAUCCGCACACUAAUACUGAGAUCUGACGCCGAGGCGUAAGCCGAAGUGGGUGAUCCUAUGCUGCCGAGAAAAGCUUCUAGCAAGUGACAAAUCCGCCCGUACCCGAAACCGACUCAGGUGGUCAAGUAGAGAAUACUAAGGCGAUCGAGCAAACCGUAGUUAAGGAACUCGGCAAAAUGCCCCCGUAACUUCGGGAGAAGGGGGGCCUUGAAGUGUGAAAGGAUUUACUCCCCAAGCACAUCAUGGCCGCAGAAACAAGGCCCAAGCGACUGUUUAACAAAAACACAGGUCCGUGCGAAGUAGUAACACGAUGUAUACGGACUGACGCCUGCCCGGUGCUGGAAGGUCAAGGGGACGGGUUAAGGAGUAAUCCUGAAGCUCAGAACUUAAGCCCCAGUAAACGGCGGUGGUAACUAUAACCAUCCUAAGGUAGCGAAAUUCCUUGUCGGGUAAGUUCCGACCUGCACGAAUGGCGUAACGACUUGGGCGCUGUCUCAACUAUGGACUCGGCGAAAUUGCAGUACGAGUAAAGAUGCUCGUUACGCGUGGAAGGACGGAAAGACCCCGGGACCUUUACUAUAACUUGGUAUUGGCGGUCGAUUCGGAUUGUGUAGCAUAGGUGGGAGACUUCGAAGCAGGGACGCCAGUUCUUGUGGAGUCAAAAAUUGAAAUACCACUCUGUUCGUAUUGGCUGUCUAACCUCGAUCCAUAACCUGGAUCAGGGACAGUGCCUGGCGGGUAGUUUAACUGGGGCGGUUGCCUCCCAAAAAGUAACGGAGGCGCUCAAAGGUUCCCUCAGCCUGGUUGGUAAUCAGGUGUUGAGUGUAAGUGCACAAGGGAGCUUGACUGCGAGAUUGACGGAUCGAGCAGGGACGAAAGUCGGAACUAGUGAUCCGGCGCCGGCAAGUGGAAGCGGCGUCGCUCAACGGAUAAAAGGUACCCCGGGGAUAACAGGCUGAUCUUUCCCAAGAGUCCAUAUCGACGGGAAGGUUUGGCACCUCGAUGUCGGCUCGUCGCAUCCUGGGGCUGGAGUAGGUCCCAAGGGUUAGGCUGUUCGCCUAUUAAAGCGGUACGCGAGCUGGGUUCAGAACGUCGUGAGACAGUUCGGUCCCUAUCCUCCACGCGCGAAAGAGUUUUGAGAGGACCUGUCUCUAGUACGAGAGGACCGAGAUGGACGAACCUCUAGUGUGCCAGUUGUUCUGCCAAGAGCAUGGCUGGUUGGCUACGUUCGGACGAGAUAACCGCUGAAAGCAUCUAAGCGGGAAGCUCACCUCAAGAUAAGAACUCUCACAGGGUUAACCUGGUAAGACCCCCAGAAGAUGACUGGGUUGAUAGGUCGGAUGUGGAAGCACAGUAAUGUGUGGAGCUGACCGAUACUAAUAGGUCGAGGGCUUGUUUU